RNAcentral lists this long non-coding RNA (933 nucleotides) under Anser brachyrhynchus (Pink-footed goose). RNAcentral's name for it is "lncRNA (ENSABRG00000008582.1)". The record is from RNAcentral. Lineage: Eukaryota; Metazoa; Chordata; Aves; Anseriformes; Anatidae.
AUGCUUUGCCCGUCCUACCACUGCAGGAAUAUAAAGCACCACGUGCCCCCUGGGUACCAGUGCUCUCGGGAUGGCUCCGUGGGAAAGGCAGCAUGGCCAGAUGCCUCCCAGCACCCCGCCUGCAGCACGCGGAUGGAUCUGGCCCACCCUGCAGCCACAGAGGCUCGUGAGAGAUUGCAGGGCUGCUGGCUGAUGUGGGACAGCUGCCCAGGAGGCCAGGCGCACCAUCUCAGAGCAGUGGCAUGCACUGUCUGGCUUGCCCGCUCCCGCAGCUCUGGUAUUUGGGGGAUUUAUUCAUCGGAGCAAGUGUUCUGAAAGAACCUUCCAGAAAGCCCUAUCUCUGGGAGCCAUGGAAGCAUCCUUUUGCAAAAUGUCACAUUCAAAAUGCAAGCUCUGAGAGUACUUAUUCAAGUGAACUCGGUUUCUACUACUGAACACACAAGUGUUACUCAAGAGGAACGAGGAGCAAGAGGAGCAGGUAGCUGCAUCUCAUGGAUGUGAGAUGCUCCAGGCCCCGUGCGCACUGCUGGGAAAUGGUUGUAGGUGCUUCUGGCAAGCGUCUGCUUUGUGAGCUCAAUCUGUGCAACCGUGAGGAAAAUGGACUGCAAUUAAGAAAACAUCAAAUCCUGGACUUCUAUGAGGGAAAAAGUUGAGCAGAUGUGUGGGUGGUGUUGCAUGGAGCGACCAUGUGAUUUUCCCUGAAGAAGUCACGGCUGGGGGAUCAGUGCUGCAGCUUUAACCCUGGAAGAGCAAGCUCUAAGACCCUGCGGUGCAGAGGCCCUGGCUCAUACGUUACAUGUCUCAAUGCAGAGCCUAAUCCACUUAGGCAAGCACGGAGUGAAAAUAUCAUUGCCUUUACAGCGAGAGCCGAAGGCUACAACAAAUCUAAAUGCCAUAGCUCCAUCAAAAUAAACACUCAAAGCCAUCUUGACA